GACGAACGCUGGCGGCGUGCUUAACACAUGCAAGUCGAACGGAAAGGCCCUGCUUUUGUGGGGUGCUCGAGUGGCGAACGGGUGAGUAACACGUGAGUAACCUGCCCUUGACUUUGGGAUAACUUCAGGAAACUGGGGCUAAUACCGGAUAGGAGCUCCUGCUGCAUGGUGGGGGUUGGAAAGUUUCGGCGGUUGGGGAUGGACUCGCGGCUUAUCAGCUUGUUGGUGGGGUAGUGGCUUACCAAGGCUUUGACGGGUAGCCGGCCUGAGAGGGUGACCGGGCACAUGGGGCUGCGGGAGGGGCCCGGACGCAAUGGGGGGGAAGGGGUGGGAAAUUUAGGAAGAGGGGCGGAGGGGGGGAGGAAGGACCCCGGGUUGGGGAUGACGGUCUGCGGGUUGGAACCCGAUUCGGCUUGUAACCGAGGUGAGUGACGGUAAAUGGAGAAGAAGGCCCCGGUAACUCCGUG
Molecule: ribosomal RNA, 467 nt
Filed under: uncultured bacterium
Lineage: Bacteria
Description: partial 16S ribosomal RNA
Rfam family: Bacterial small subunit ribosomal RNA
Source: RNAcentral